This 818-nucleotide ribosomal RNA is filed under the name Streptomyces sp. RNAcentral describes it as "bacterial SSU rRNA". It matches the Rfam family "Bacterial small subunit ribosomal RNA", at positions 88 to 917 of the family's 1533-position model. The record is from RNAcentral. Lineage: Bacteria; Bacillati; Actinomycetota; Actinomycetes; Kitasatosporales; Streptomycetaceae.
UGGAUUAGUGGCGACGGGUGAGUAACACGUGGGCAAUCUGCCCUGCACUCUGGGACAAGCCCUGGAAACGGGGUCUAAUACCGGAUGAUAUCCCCUCUCGCAUGGGAGGGGGUUGAAAGCUCCGGCGGUGCAGGAUGAGCCCGCGGCCUAUCAGCUAGUUGGUGAGGUAGAAGCUCACCAAGGCGACGACGGGUAGCCGGCCUGAGAGGGCGACCGGCCACACUGGGACUGAGACACGGCCCAGACUCCUACGGGAGGCAGCAGUGGGGAAUAUUGCACAAUGGGCGAAAGCCUGAUGCAGCGACGCCGCGUGAGGGAUGACGGCCUUCGGGUUGUAAACCUCUUUCAGCAGGGAAGAAGCGAAAGUGACGGUACCUGCAGAAGAAGCGCCGGCUAACUACGUGCCAGCAGCCGCGGUAAUACGUAGGGCGCAAGCGUUGUCCGGAAUUAUUGGGCGUAAAGAGCUCGUAGGCGGCUUGUCACGUCGGUUGUGAAAGCCCGGGGCUUAACCCCGGGUCUGCAGUCGAUACGGGCAGGCUAGAGUGUGGUAGGGGAGAUCGGAAUUCCUGGUGUAGCGGUGAAAUGCGCAGAUAUCAGGAGGAACACCGGUGGCGAAGGCGGAUCUCUGGGCCAUUACUGACGCUGAGGAGCGAAAGCGUGGGGAGCGAACAGGAUUAGAUACCCUGGUAGUCCACGCCGUAAACGGUGGGAACUAGGUGUUGGCGACAUUCCACGUCGUCGGUGCCGCAGCUAACGCAUUAAGUUCCCCGCCCUGGGGAGUACUGCCGCAAGGCUAAAACUCAAAAGGAAUUGACGGG